GAUGAACGCUGGCGGCGUGCUUAACACAUGCAAGUCGAACGGACAGGCCCUGCUCUUGCGGGGCGCUCGUGAGGCGAACGGGUGAGUAACACGUGAGUAACCUGCCCUUGAAUUUGGGAUAAAUUCAGGAAACUGGGGCUAAUACAGGAUAGGAUCUCCUGCUGCAUGGUGGGGGUUGGAAAGUUGCGGCGGUUUGGGCUGGACUCGCGGCUUAUCAGCUUGUUGGUGGGGUAGUGGCUUACCAAGGUUUGGACGGGUAGCCGGCCUGAGAGGGUGACCGGCCACAGUGGGACUGGGAUACGACCCAUACGCCUACGGGAGGCAGCAGUGGGGAAUAUAGCACGAUGGGCGGAAGCAGGAUGCAGCAACGCCGCGUGCGAGAUGACGGCCUUCGGGUUGUAAACCGCUUUCGCCUGUGUCGAAGCGUGAGUGACGGUAAUGGGUAGAGAAGCACCGGCAAACUACGU
Molecule: ribosomal RNA, 467 nt
Filed under: uncultured bacterium
Lineage: Bacteria
Description: partial 16S ribosomal RNA
Rfam family: Bacterial small subunit ribosomal RNA
Source: RNAcentral